Molecule: ribosomal RNA, 301 nt
Filed under: uncultured bacterium
Lineage: Bacteria
Description: partial 16S ribosomal RNA
Rfam family: Bacterial small subunit ribosomal RNA
Source: RNAcentral
CAGCAGCCGCGGGAAUACAGAGGGUGCGAGCGUUAAUCGGAUUUACUGGGCGUAAAGCGUGCGUAGGCGGCUUCUUAAGUCGGAUGUGAAAUCCCUGAGCUUAACUUAGGAAUUGCAUUCGAUACUGGGAAGCUAGAGUAUGGGAGAGGAUGGUAGAAUUCCAGGUGUAGCGGUGAAAUGCGUAGAGAUCUGGAGGAGUACCGAUGGCGAAGGCAGCCAUCUGGCCUAAUACUGACGCUGAGGUACGAAAGCAUGGGGAGCAAACAGGAUUAGAUACCCGCGUAGUCCCUGUCUCUUAUAA